UAACAACAUUAACAAGAUUGUAUACAACACAAUAACUUCACUUCAAUGCGUAUGCAUGCGAUUUUUUUUAUGUGAUAUGACAUAUGAACUGGUUGACUACAAAAUAAACACAUUAAAGUAGAUUUCUGAUUUGAUUUCGAGAUAUAAUAAAAUAAAAUCACGUACCAUCGAUAUCGACAACAACAAAUCUGACGGUACACAAAUUACACUCCAAUAUUUUCGACUGCAAAAAAUAUAUAUAUUAUCGUCCUUUUUUGUAUUAAAAAGAAAAAGACACGAGGACUGUAUGUCGUUAAAUUAAAUCGGUCUUAUCUUUUGUGGAUAACAACACUAACUGAUUUGCUGACCUUCAACGAUUUAUAAAUGUGGUUGUGGCAAAUACUCAAACUGUAGCUUGGGCACCUAUUGCGUACUAUAUUCUGGUAUUGUAUGUAACAAACGAAAAAAAACCAACAACUUUAUUUUUGAGAAAGCGUUGUUUUAACGAAUACCGAUGAAUGAAUCAAUGCGCUUGUCGUAUGGAACAUAAAUGUGCAUUUCCAUGGUGUAGCAUGGCUUUCCAUUUCGAGCGCUAACAGCAUUUGUACGAAAUGAGGCAAAAAUGAAGCUUUUCAAAUGAACAUAAUUUCACUCGUUUAUAAGGUGUUCAAACGAAGUAACACAUAAAAGCGAUGGCCGAUGGAAUUCACUUUGCAGUUUCAGUACCGCGAAUGACGUAAACUCAGUUACAAGCCUCCAACUAUUAAGCUGUCAUAAUAACAUUUAAAAAGGACAAUAUCAAAACGAAAAAAUCUUCAUGCGUCAUAUGACCAUUCUUCAAUCACGUUCAUUCGUAACCAAACCUAGAACACAUAACAUUUGACGUAAAAAUGCACAAUGAAAAUGAAAACCAAUUCGUAGUACCCAAAUCGAUCAAAAGCAGUACCUCAACAGAUACUUCGUGGUUCAUCGUCAAUAAUUUGAAUUGUAAAAUUCAUUUUUAUUUACAAUGCUAAGUGAUCACUUCAUUGAUUUGAUUAUUUUUUUUUAUUUUUCUAAUUGUUGUAUUUACUUACUUUUUCUAUUUUUUGGAAAUACUGUCGUAAAAAUGAGAUUGGAUUUUCUGGACGCGUCACACAUAACUGUACGAUGCAAUCUUUUAGUACACGUUGAAUAUUAUGUGAUUGAAUGUAAUUUUCGCAUUCUCGUAAACUUUGUUCUUCUUCAAACGUCGACGCCAUAUUCAUAAUGUUUUAUAAAUAAAAUUAUUCUGUGGUUUUUAAAGCAA
Molecule: long non-coding RNA, 1267 nt
Organism: Contarinia nasturtii (swede midge)
Lineage: Eukaryota; Metazoa; Arthropoda; Insecta; Diptera; Cecidomyiidae
Exons: 3
Source: RefSeq, a predicted model, not a curated record